GAGUUUGAUCCUGGCUCAGAACAAACGCUGGCGGCGUGCCUAACACAUGCAAGUCGUACGAGAAAGUCCGCUUCGGUGGGCAAGUAAAGUGGCGCACGGGUGAGUAACGCGUGGAUAAUCUACCCUUUAGUCUGGAAUAACUUAUCGAAAGGUGAAUUAAUACCGGAUAAUAUCCCGGUUUCCCCGGAAAUCGGGAUCAAAGAAGGCCUCUGCUUGCAAGCUUUUGCUGAAGGAUGAGUCCGCGUACCAUUAGCUAGUUGGCAGGGUAAUGGCCUACCAAGGUUAUGAUGGUUAGCUGGUCUGAGAGGAUGAUCAGCCACACUGGAACUGAAACACGGUCCAGACUCCUACGGGAGGCAGCAGUGAGGAAUAUUGCGCAAUGGGGGCAACCCUGACGCAGCAACGCCGCGUGAGUGAGGAAGGUUUUCGGAUUGUAAAGCUCUGUCGAGCGGAAAGAAGUGCAUUAUGGCUAAUAUCCAUAGUGCUUGACGGUACC
Molecule: ribosomal RNA, 496 nt
Filed under: uncultured Syntrophus sp.
Lineage: Bacteria; Pseudomonadati; Thermodesulfobacteriota; Syntrophia; Syntrophales; Syntrophaceae
Description: bacterial SSU rRNA
Rfam family: Bacterial small subunit ribosomal RNA
Source: RNAcentral